RNAcentral lists this non-coding RNA (221 nucleotides) under Halanaerobium saccharolyticum. Its description in RNAcentral is "T-box sequence". It matches the Rfam family "T-box leader". From Rfam's summary of the family: Uncharged tRNA acts as the effector for transcription antitermination of genes in the T-box leader family. T-boxes are found upstream of many aminoacyl-tRNA synthetase genes and some amino acid biosynthetic genes usually in Gram-positive bacteria. The anticodon of a specific tRNA base pairs to a specifier sequence within the T-box motif, and the NCCA acceptor tail of the tRNA base pairs to a conserved bulge in the T-box antiterminator hairpin. The record is from RNAcentral. Lineage: Bacteria; Bacillati; Bacillota; Clostridia; Halanaerobiales; Halanaerobiaceae.
UUAAAGGCAGAGAAGGAGAAAGUAACUAAAUAAGAUUUUAAGAGAGAUUAACUGCAGCAGCUGAAAGCAGUUAAAUUAUUAAAUUUAGUGAAAUUCACUCUGGAGCUGAGGGCUGAAAUUAGUAAGCUUAUCCGGAAGUAAAUACUUUCGUUAACAAAUAAAGUGAUUCCACAUUAAACUGUGGGAUAAUCAGGGUGGUAACACGGUAUCUCGUCCCUUUA